Molecule: ribosomal RNA, 253 nt
Filed under: uncultured bacterium
Lineage: Bacteria
Description: partial 16S ribosomal RNA
Rfam family: Bacterial small subunit ribosomal RNA
Source: RNAcentral
UACGGGGGGGGCAAGCGUUGUUCGGAAUUACUGGGCGUAAAGGGCUCGUAGGCGGCCAACUAAGUCAGACGUGAAAUCCCUCGGCUUAACCGGGGAACUGCGUCUGAUACUGGAUGGCUUGAGUUUGGGAGAGGGAUGCGGAAUUCCAGGUGUAGCGGUGAAAUGCGUAGAUAUCUGGAGGAACACCGGUGGCGAAGGCGGCAUCCUGGACCAACACUGACGCUGAUGAGCGAAAGCCAGGGGAGCGAACGGG